RNAcentral lists this transfer RNA (77 nucleotides) under Bacillus sp. (in: firmicutes). Its description in RNAcentral is "Bacillus sp. (in: Bacteria) tRNA-Arg". It matches the Rfam family "tRNA". From Rfam's summary of the family: Transfer RNA (tRNA) molecules are approximately 80 nucleotides in length. Their secondary structure includes four short double-helical elements and three loops (D, anti-codon, and T loops). The record is from RNAcentral. Lineage: Bacteria; Bacillati; Bacillota; Bacilli; Caryophanales; Bacillaceae.
GCGCCCGUAGCUCAAUUGGAUAGAGCAUCUGACUACGAAUCAGAAGGUUGUAGGUUCGAGUCCCGCCGGGCGCGCCA